RNAcentral lists this ribosomal RNA (427 nucleotides) under uncultured bacterium. RNAcentral describes it as "bacterial SSU rRNA". It matches the Rfam family "Bacterial small subunit ribosomal RNA", at positions 355 to 774 of the family's 1533-position model. The record is from RNAcentral.
UGGGGAAUUUUGGACAAUGGGCGCAAGCCUGAUCCAGCCAUGCCGCGUGCAGGAUGAAGGCCUUCGGGUUGUAAACUGCUUUUGUACGGAACGAAAAGGUGCCUUCUAAUAAAGGGCGCUCAUGACGGUACCGUAAGAAUAAGCACCGGCUAACUACGUGCCAGCAGCCGCGGUAAUACGUAGGGUGCGAGCGUUAAUCGGAAUUACUGGGCGUAAAGCGUGCGCAGGCGGUUUUGUAAGACAGAGGUGAAAUCCCCGGGCUCAACCUGGGAACGGCCUUUGUGACUGCAAGGCUGGAGUGCGGCAGAGGGGGAUGGAAUUCCGCGUGUAGCAGUGAAAUGCGUAGAUAUGCGGAGGAACACCGAUGGCGAAGGCAAUCCCCUGGGCCUGCACUGACGCUCAUGCACGAAAGCGUGGGGAGCAAACA